Molecule: long non-coding RNA, 220 nt
Filed under: Capsicum annuum
Lineage: Eukaryota; Viridiplantae; Streptophyta; Magnoliopsida; Solanales; Solanaceae
Description: long non-coding RNA (CANN_LNC000858)
Source: RNAcentral
UCCUGUUUGCUCCCGACUGGGAUUUUCCCUAGUGUAGUGGGUCUCAUUCCGGCCCUGUAAGAAUUCCCUUGUUAGAAAAUCGGGAAGGGAAUUUUUUUCUCCUUUGAUAAAUUCUAUUUGAAAAUCAAAGCUAGAUAGGAGAGCUUUCCAUCUAGCAAAUAUUUGUUUAGAAACCAGAUUUUUAACAUCCUUUUGUAAAAUCUCUUUAGCAGAUUUGCAA